RNAcentral lists this transfer RNA (74 nucleotides) under Citrobacter portucalensis. RNAcentral's name for it is "tRNA-Met". It matches the Rfam family "tRNA". From Rfam's summary of the family: Transfer RNA (tRNA) molecules are approximately 80 nucleotides in length. Their secondary structure includes four short double-helical elements and three loops (D, anti-codon, and T loops). The record is from RNAcentral. Lineage: Bacteria; Pseudomonadati; Pseudomonadota; Gammaproteobacteria; Enterobacterales; Enterobacteriaceae.
CGCGGGGUGGAGCAGCCUGGUAGCUCGUCGGGCUCAUAACCCGAAGGUCGUCAGUUCAAAUCUGGCCCCCGCAU